Molecule: long non-coding RNA, 828 nt
Filed under: Marmota monax (woodchuck)
Lineage: Eukaryota; Metazoa; Chordata; Mammalia; Rodentia; Sciuridae
Source: RNAcentral
GGGAGAGAAAAGCAAAGAUAGCACUCAAAACCCACCUCUUCAUAAUUAUUUUACGGCAUAAUUGUUUAGUUGAUUAUCUACACUUAUGAAAGUGAUGAACAGAGUGUUAAUGUGAUUUAAAAAUGUGGCCAUUGCAUCACGAAUGGCACCAACACAUGAGUAAACAUUCCUCUAAUGUUUGAAAACUAUUAUCCAGUUUAGCCAAGUGACUUUUUGGGGGGAUGAUGGGGCACUGGGGAUUGAACCCAUGGGGAAGCUUUACCACUGAGCUACCUCCACAACACUUUUUAUUUUGUGACAGGGUCUUGCUGAGUUGCUGGGACGGGUCCUGACCUUGUGAUUCUCUUGUCUCAGUCUCCUGAGUUGCUGGCAUCACGGGGAUGUGUGCACCACCAUGCCUGGGUAGCCAGGUGAUGUUUGAUGUACAAAGGAGUUGUCUGGUGUUUGUGUUACUCCUUAAUGAAAAUGAAAACAUCAACAUUCAUGUCAAAGUUAUAUUUAUUUUUUUAAAAAAAUUUUAAUUGUAGAUGGACACAAUACCUUUCUUUUAUUUGUUUAUUUUUAUGUGGUACAGGGGAUCAAACCCAGUGCCUUAGGCAUGCUAGGCAAGCGCUCUACCACUGAGCCACAACCCCAUCCCCAAAGUUAUAUUUGUUGCUCAGUUGUAACCAUAGAUUGUCUGCAGAUGCAAGAGCUUGGUAAAAAUGAGCAAAAGUAUGCUUUGAGAAUCAAUUGACUCUAUGGGAUAUGUAGGAUAUAGUAUCUUUUAUUAUUCUUUGUAGAUUUUAGACCAGUGGCAUUUAUAAUAAACAUGUACUCACUCACACA